AACUAAGUUUGUUACUGGUAUGAGCUUUCAUGUGCAUGUACACUUCUUCAGAUACAAUGAAACAGAAGUCACCAGUCUGAAGUUUGAAGAAUUGUGCAUGCACACGAAAACUCAUACCAAUAACAAACUUAGUUGC
Molecule: microRNA precursor, 136 nt
Filed under: Podarcis lilfordi (Lilford's wall lizard)
Lineage: Eukaryota; Metazoa; Chordata; Lepidosauria; Squamata; Lacertidae
Source: RNAcentral